ACGCUCGACACCUACGGAAGGCAGCAGUGGGGAAUAUUGCACAAUGGGGGAAACCCUGAUGCAGCGACGCCGCGUGAGCGAAGAAGUAUCUCGGUAUGUAAAGCUCUAUCAGCAGGGAAGAAGAUGACGGUACCUGACUAAGAAGCACCGGCUAAAUACGUGCCAGCAGCCGGGUAAUCUGAGCGGGCUGGCAAGGC
Molecule: ribosomal RNA, 197 nt
Filed under: uncultured bacterium
Lineage: Bacteria
Description: partial 16S ribosomal RNA
Rfam family: Bacterial small subunit ribosomal RNA
Source: RNAcentral